AUUGAACGCUGGCGGCAGGCCUAACACAUGCAAGUCGAACGAGUGGCGGACGGGUGAGUAAUGUAUGGGCAACUGCCCGAUGGAGGGGGCUAAGGACUGGAAACGGUAGAUAAUACCGCAAAACAUCGGAUGUGCCCAGGUGGGAUUAGCUAGUCGGUGGGGUAACGGCUCACCUAGGCGACGAUCCCUAGCUGGUCUGAGAGGAUGACCGGCCACACUGGAACUGAGACACGGCCCAGACUCCUACGGGAGGCAGCAGUGGGGAAUAUUGCACAAUGGGCGCAAGCCUGAUGCAGCCAUGCCGCGUGAAUGAAGAAGGCUUUCGGGUUGUAAAGUACUUUCAGCGAGGAGGCGUUACUCGCACAAGAAGCACCGGCUAACUCCGUGCCAGCAGCCGCGGUAAUUC
Molecule: ribosomal RNA, 406 nt
Filed under: uncultured bacterium
Lineage: Bacteria
Description: partial 16S ribosomal RNA
Rfam family: Bacterial small subunit ribosomal RNA
Source: RNAcentral